GUUUUAAUCAGACUUACGGUACUUUCACCAAGCUAUCUCAAAGCACAUAACAACCACUGUAAUUACUGGCAAUAAUGAGCUAAUUAAUUCAUCUGGGUAUUAUUUCUCAAGGAAUAAAUACUACUGUCCUCAGUGUGGGGGAUAUGGAAACUAAGAUGUCUUCAGCUUCAUCUUUAAAUGUAUGGUUUUGAACGCUGUUGCUCCAGAACUCUUCAGGACAGAUAAGACACGUCAAAUCUUUGAUUGCUUCUGUAACUGUUUGAGCAGAGCCCUGCUCCUGUUUUCUGUCUGGUGCUGGAGGGAAACAGCGACAGCUCUCCUUGAAAUAAAGCCCAAAUACGGGAA
Molecule: long non-coding RNA, 345 nt
Organism: Tympanuchus pallidicinctus (lesser prairie-chicken)
Lineage: Eukaryota; Metazoa; Chordata; Aves; Galliformes; Phasianidae
Exons: 2
Source: RefSeq, a predicted model, not a curated record